This 219-nucleotide ribosomal RNA is filed under the name uncultured bacterium. RNAcentral's name for it is "partial 16S ribosomal RNA". It matches the Rfam family "Bacterial small subunit ribosomal RNA", at positions 116 to 334 of the family's 1533-position model. The record is from RNAcentral.
CGUAAGCAACCUGCCCCGAAGUGGGGGAUAACAGCUCGAAAGGGCUGCUAAUACCGCAUGUGGCCAGUGUAUCGCAUGAUGCUCUGUCUAAAGCCUUGUGCGCUUCGGGAUGGGCUUGCGGCCUAUCAGUUAGUUGGUGGGGUAACGGCCUACCAAGGCGUUGACGGGUAGCUGGUCUGAGAGGAUGGUCAGCCGGAUUGGGACUGAGACACGGCCCAG